CUGACACCUGCACCUCCUCCUCUUUUUCCUGAGUAUUUCCACCCAUUAAAUGAAGGAGAUGGGGAUGCUGUGCAGCCCAAUAUUCAUAUUAGUCAUGAAGAAAGUGGGAGUAUGAGAAGGAUUCCAGGCACUGUGACUGCAACAUCUGAGCUGGACCAAUGAAGAUUAGACAUGGCCUGGACAUAAGAAUUCUUCUGAGAAUUCUCUCAGCACCAUUUUUCAUGGGCAGAACCCUAAGCCACUACAUAUAAAACGUGUUUUAGUACUCUAUAUUUUGAAGUAUCUUGUCUCAGUAGAGACAAGUCUAAAGUGGCAUGAAAAUAGGAUUGUCAUUCAAUGACCUCUGGAACGUGUCUGCUUCUCUUCCUCAGGUCUGUGAGCACAGGACACAAAAUUUACAGGUGCUCACCCUGAACUAAU
Non-coding RNA from Cyanistes caeruleus (blue tit), 420 nucleotides. The record is from RefSeq and is a predicted model, not a curated record. Lineage: Eukaryota; Metazoa; Chordata; Aves; Passeriformes; Paridae.